ACAUCCAUAUGCUGCGGGAGAGGCCCAAGAAAUAGCAAAAAGACAAAAAAAAAAAAAUAAUCUCCAAUUAGAAUCAAGAUUGCUGGGGGGGGGGGGGGGGGGGGGGGGAGCUGUCUGGGUGACUACAAUACACAAAGGAAAAAAGAAAACAUGCGGAACCCAGCCUUCAAAAAUACAGCUUCCUAAAUUGGAACAAGAAAGUGAGGAGAAGAAAUACUGAGACCUCUAAGUAAAUCACAUAUGGGGGCGGGGAAGACAUGUGCUGUUUUGCCUCUCUCCCCACCUCCUCCAAAGGAGUGGAACUAAGGCGACUUGAUGGAGCGCCUUAGAAUUUUUGAAAAGAAAAGAAAAAAAGGGGGUGGGGGAGGAAAACACUGAAUUCAAGUCUUUUGCGCGCCACAAAUACCUAAAAAGGUUCUGAACCACUAGCUCAACGUGGAGAAGAGAAACAGCCUCUCUGCAGUCUGGCAGCCUUGCCCGAUCUCCAAAGGGCUCCAGAUACGCACUGCACCCUGCCGCGGCCGGAUAACUCAGCUAAGAUUUCAGUAGUGAAGACAGACACUCCGCAGCCUCCUCCUGCCCAAGAAGCGCUAGGCCCAUCGCCACAGAGCCUGAGCCUGGGCACCAGAGCUCCAGAGGCACAGAGCAGCAGCACCUGGACUCUUGGGCAGGAAGUGGCUACUCUGACUCUGGGCUCAUCAUGAAAGGAGUUCAUCUUCUUGGCUCUCCUCCAGAGGUCUGUGGCAGCAGGCAGAAAUUGGGCGGUGUGGAAGGAGACACAACAGAAGCCCAGAAGCCAGAGAUGGUUCAUCACCAGGUGUUGGACAAGAAAGGACCUGCAGAGAGCUGCUUCCUGGAGGACUCAGCCUGAAUGUCUUCUUACACAUCUCAGUUACUUAACACAUUGAUGCCCCUAGUGCCAACUUAAAUUUGAUUCUACUAACAGUCAAGCUUUAAGAAGAAAACGGAUACCCAGCCAAAAUGUGGUUGAACUUGACAUCUCUGGAGCCCUGGGUGCUGCUGACCACCUGCCUACUUUGGCUGUUAUGAGCCCCUUCUCUCCCACUUCUUCCUCUUACUCA
RNAcentral lists this long non-coding RNA (1082 nucleotides) under Sus scrofa (pig). Its description in RNAcentral is "lncRNA (ENSSSCG00015048605.1)". The record is from RNAcentral. Lineage: Eukaryota; Metazoa; Chordata; Mammalia; Artiodactyla; Suidae.